RNAcentral lists this ribosomal RNA (391 nucleotides) under Escherichia coli. RNAcentral describes it as "bacterial SSU rRNA". It matches the Rfam family "Bacterial small subunit ribosomal RNA", at positions 202 to 580 of the family's 1533-position model. The record is from RNAcentral. Lineage: Bacteria; Pseudomonadati; Pseudomonadota; Gammaproteobacteria; Enterobacterales; Enterobacteriaceae.
GGAGGACCUUCGGGCCUCUUGCCAUCGGAUGUGCCCAGAUGGGAUUAGCUAGUAGGUGGGGUAACGGCUCACCUAGGCGACGAUCCCUAGCUGGUCUGAGAGGAUGACCAGCCACACUGGAACUGAGACACGGUCCAGACUCCUACGGGAGGCAGCAGUGGGGAAUAUUGCACAAUGGGCGCAAGCCUGAUGCAGCCAUGCCGCGUGUAUGAAGAAGGCCUUCGGGUUGUAAAGUACUUUCAGCGGGGAGGAAGGGAGUAAAGUUAAUACCUUUGCUCAUUGACGUUACCCGCAGAAGAAGCACCGGCUAACUCCGUGCCAGCAGCCGCGGUAAUACGGAGGGUGCAAGCGUUAAUCGGAAUUACUGGGCGUAAAGCGCACGCAGCCGUGC